CGCAUAUUAAAGUUGUUGCAGUUAAAAAGCUCGUAGUUGGAUUUGUGGCGUAUGGUGUGUUCCGGGCACUUGUUGUCUGAGUGACCUGCUGUUGCCAUCCUUGAGUGGAACCUGUGUGGCAUUAGGUUGUCGUGCAGGGGAUGCCCAUCAUUUACUGUGAAAAAAUUAGAGUGUUCAAAGCAGGCUUAUGCCGUUGAAUAUAUUAGCAUGGAAUAAUGAGAUAGGACUUUUUUACUAUUUUGUUGGUUUGCGUAAAGAGGUAAUGAUUAAUAGGGACAGUUGGGGG
RNAcentral lists this ribosomal RNA (286 nucleotides) under uncultured diatom. RNAcentral's name for it is "partial 18S ribosomal RNA". It matches the Rfam family "Eukaryotic small subunit ribosomal RNA", at positions 598 to 888 of the family's 1831-position model. Lineage: Eukaryota; Bacillariophyta. The record is from RNAcentral.